RNA transcript from Rhodamnia argentea, 1160 nucleotides. RefSeq lists it as uncharacterized. The transcript is spliced from 9 exons. The record is from RefSeq and is a predicted model, not a curated record. NCBI's taxonomy places the organism in Eukaryota, Viridiplantae, Streptophyta, Magnoliopsida, Myrtales, Myrtaceae.
AUUGGCUAUCUCGGAGAGACAAAGCCAGUGGUUUUGAAGAGAAAGGGACGACUUGCCGUCUAGGCAUACCCAUCUCCAAAUUCAUCUCCCUUGAGAUCGAUUUGUAACUUCUCCUUCAGUCUCUACAGAGAAGAAAGAUUCUUGCUUAGCGUUUGAUUUUCUGCCAAAAGUCAUGCCGUCUCAAGAUUACAUGGACAAGCUGCAGGUCCGGCAAAACUACCGGAACCUGUGGCACACUGAUCUGAUGCACACCAUUCAAGCUGAUACUGGCUAUUGCUGCUUUGCCUUCUGGUGUGCACCAUGUGCUUCAUACUUGCUCCGUAAAAGAGCCCUUUACAAUGACAUGUCAAGAUAUGUCUGUUGUGCUGGUUACAUGCCAUGUAGUGGUAGAUGUGGAGAGAGUCGAUGCCCCGAGUUUUGUCUCUGCACCGAGGUUUUUCUCUGCUUCGGAAAUUCGGUGGCCUCCACUCGCUUUUGGUUGCAAGAUGAGUUCAACAUACAGACUACACAAUGUGACAAUUGUAUCAUAGGCUUUAUGUUCUGCCUCCAACAACUUGCCUGCAUAUUCUCAAUAGUUGCUAUGCUAGUUGGGAGUGAAGAAAUUUCAGAGGCUUCUCAGUUGCUAAACUUGUUGUCUGAUUUGGUUUAUUGCACGGUUUGUGCUUGCAUGCAGACACAACACAAGGUUGAGAUGGACAAACGAGAUGGCAUGUUUGGGGACCGACCCAUGGCCGUGCCUCCUGUUCAGCAGAUGUCCCGCAUUGAUCAGCCUAUUCCUCCCUCAGCCGGUUAUCCACCUCCGCCACCACCGCAGGGUUAUGGCUAUCCGCCUCCCCCUCAGGGUUAUCCUGCUCCUAAUUAUCCUCCCGCAGGUUAUCCUCCGCCUGGGUAUCCGCCUGCUGGCUAUCCAAAGUGAUCCAUUCCUCUGGCUUAAACAUUUAUAUACAGUUUCACUGAUUUCUCGUGAGUGCAUACUAGGUUCGGGUAUUUUGUUUCAGCGUUGUUUUCUUGCGGUCUCUUAAUGAAGCAGUGUACACCCAGGAUUGUGUGGGUUUUGCUGUUUCAUCUUGUUCAGACUUGUGAUCUGGAUGCCUUUUCUUCUUGUCUGUCUACGAACCAUAACAUAUGCAUGAGAAGGACCCUUCUACUAUAUUAGAACA